Molecule: long non-coding RNA, 1108 nt
Filed under: Apteryx owenii (little spotted kiwi)
Lineage: Eukaryota; Metazoa; Chordata; Aves; Apterygiformes; Apterygidae
Description: lncRNA (ENSAOWG00000012796.1)
Source: RNAcentral
GCCCGCGGCGCCUGCCUGCGUGGGGAGCGGGGCCGCGGCCUGCGCGGGGGCAGCGCUUGCCUUGCUGCUUCUUCCACGUUUAACUUCAGCGGCUGAUUAACCUUCGGAAGGAAGAAACCCACCUCGGCCUCGUCAUCAGCCCCGCUCUCCCGACAGCCCCGAGCAGAGCACGGUUUAACUUCGCCCUCCUUCCAGGACACCAGAGGGAAGGGAAGGAAGCAGAGCAGCGCAUCAGGCCGCUGCCAAACUUUCCGUUGCCAGUCACCUUUAAAACUGGCCUCGACGUUUUUUCCCGCUUAACAAAACAGGAAGUAUCGAACUGGAUCACGAGGGGUCCUAUGGCCUGCUCUCCUGAUGUUCAGUGCCCUUCACCAGGUGCUUCUGAGGACAAGAAACUCUUUGGUGAGGUGUCUCAAAGAGACAGGCACAGUACCCUGCUUAAAGAGCUCUGCAGAGACAGUUUAAACGGGACUACUGUUUCAAGCCGUCAGCUGCUGCAGGAAGCUAAGCCAUAUUUUUAAUGAUUUUGCAGCUGUCAGAAUUAUGAAGGCAAAACCAUGACUUUCCAAGAGACCAUAGGCCACAUUUCUGCAAAAAAGGGUAGAUUAGGGAUGACUCAGUAGCACAGAAUCUCUGGAGUCUUGAUUUCAGUCUCCGAGGGAUGGGUUUCUGUCUUAGUGACUAUAUUUAAAUUUGAGGAAGGCUAGUGGAUAACAACAAAUUUAUGAGAGAAUCGUUGAGAGAAUACUUCUGGUGCUGAAGACACACCGUCAGCUCCAUUGCCAACUUAAUGUGGUCAUAUCAAGCUAAGCCAAGGGUCCUGACCUGACUUCUGCUGGAUACGUGUGUGUCUAACCCUUCUCCUUUCCGAGAAGAAGCCAGCUCAGAAUGAGGAUGUGUAUCUGAAGGGAGAACAUGCUUUACCGCAGCCCCCUCCCCAAAAGAGGAAAACACUCUUAAGUAAUCCAGUGAGACCAGCAGUGGGUUGUGCUUGCUGUUUUUGGUAAUCAACGCCUUGGAGAGGUGCACUUGCCUCUCAGCCUUUUCUCAAAGCCAACAAGCAAGAGAUGGUGAUGGAUACCAGUUGCUUUUGACCUGCUUUUGGAAA